UAGGCUAAUACGUGCGAAGCGCCGAAGCCGCGAGGCGACGGGCGUUCUCGCCCGGAUGUAGGGAACCGACCCCGGGGGACCGCCCGGGGGCAACCCGGCGCCCCCGAGACGGGGCGAACCACGGUGAAAUGACGGAUCGUCGGCCCCGCGCCGGCGACUCGCCGAAUGAGUUUCUGACCUAUCAACUCGAGACGGCGGGGUAGAGGCCCGCCGCGGUAACGACGGGUAACGGGGAAUCAGGGUUCGAUUCCGGAGAGGGAGCCCGAGAAACGGCUACCACUUCCAAGGAAGGCAGCAGGCGCGCAACUUACCCUAAUCUCGAUUCGAGGAGGUAGUGACAAGAAAUACCGAUGCGGGACCCUACGGGUGCCGCGUUCGGAAUGAGUACGAUUCGAACCACCUAACGAGGAACGAUCGGAGGGCAAGUCUGGUGCCAGCAGCCGCGGUAAUUCCAGCUCCAAUAGCGUACGUUAAAGUUGCUGCAGUUAAAAAGCUCGUAGU
Molecule: ribosomal RNA, 501 nt
Filed under: uncultured eukaryote
Lineage: Eukaryota
Description: bacterial SSU rRNA
Rfam family: Eukaryotic small subunit ribosomal RNA
Source: RNAcentral